Molecule: signal recognition particle RNA, 299 nt
Filed under: Saimiri boliviensis boliviensis (Bolivian squirrel monkey)
Lineage: Eukaryota; Metazoa; Chordata; Mammalia; Primates; Cebidae
Description: Metazoan signal recognition particle RNA (ENSSBOG00000003896.1)
Rfam family: Metazoan signal recognition particle RNA
About the family: The signal recognition particle (SRP) is a universally conserved ribonucleoprotein.
Source: RNAcentral
GCCUGGCACUGUGGCACAUGUCUGUAGUCCCAGCUAUUCAGGAGGCUGAGGCUGGAGGAUCUCUUGAGUCCAGGAGUUCUGGGCUGUAGUGUGCUAUGCCAAUUGGGUGUCCACACUAAGGUCAGCAUCAAUAUGGUGACCUCCCGGGAGUGGGGGACCACCAGGUUGCCUAAGGAGGGGUGAACCAGCCCAAGUUGGAAAUGGAGCAGGUCAAAACUCCCGUGCUGAUCAGUAGUGGGAUCACGCCUGUGAAUAGCCACUGCACUCCAGCCUGGGCAACAUAGUGAGAUCCUGUCUCU